CAGCGCCACGAGUGGUGACCACGUUUAUUGGGCCUAAAGCGUCCGUAGCCGGUUUGGUAAAUCUUCUGUGAAAUUGUGCGGCUUAACCGUACAACGUGCAAGAGACACUGCCAGACUUGAGACCGGGAGGAGUCAGAAGUAUUCCAGGGGGAGCGGCAAAAUGUUAUAAUCCCUGGAGGACUACCUGUGGCGAAGGCGUCUGACCAGAACGGAUCUGACGGUGAGGGACGAAAGCCAGGGGAGCGAACCGGAUUAGAUACCCGAGUAGUCC
Molecule: ribosomal RNA, 271 nt
Filed under: uncultured archaeon
Lineage: Archaea
Description: partial 16S ribosomal RNA
Rfam family: Archaeal small subunit ribosomal RNA
Source: RNAcentral